UACGUAGGUGGCGAGCGUUGUCCGGAAUUACUGGGUGUAAAGCGCGUGUAGGCGGGAGGCCAAGUCUGUGGUGAAAUCGCUCGGCUUAACUGGGCGGGGUCCAUGGAAACUGGUCACCUGGAGGUCGGUAGAGGCAAGUGGAAUUCCCGGUGUAGUGGUGAAAUGCGUAGAGAUCGGGAGGAACACCAGUGGCGAAGGCGGCUUGCUGGGCCGGACCUGACGCUGAGACGCGAAGGCCAGGGGAGCAAACGGG
This 253-nucleotide ribosomal RNA is filed under the name uncultured bacterium. Its description in RNAcentral is "partial 16S ribosomal RNA". It matches the Rfam family "Bacterial small subunit ribosomal RNA", at positions 524 to 776 of the family's 1533-position model. The record is from RNAcentral.